GGAUGCGAAAAAACCAAAUGGAUUGUGUAUGGAUGUAGACAGACAACCCCCCAAAUAAUUAUCGAAAACCUUGAUUGAUAGCUGAAUAACCGUGUAACAAACCUGUCACAAUUAUUUUUCAACCAUCAAAGCAUGGUAGGCUAUAGAUUAAAUAUUGCAUGAAAUUUAAUGCAAAAAAAUUCAGAGAACUAAGAUUUCCAGCAACAAAAGGUGGUUUAAUCCCCCCNNNNNNNNNNNNNNNNNNNNCCCCCACUCAAUUAUUUCGCGAAGUGUCCUCCACUGCAGAGUAAAGCAUAUGUUUAAAAAUGAUAAUCAAUAUGUCAGUUUUAAAUGAUAUUAUAGUUCCAUAAUCCAUACUCUAGCUAAUAACACUUUACAAACUGUAUAAUUCAGUGGGGUCACAUGUACACAGUUCGCAAUUGACAGGCAAUAAGAUCUAUUGCAUUUUCUUCCUUCGAAUGUUCAAUUAUUCACAUCCAUCAAUGGCAUUGUAUAGUAGUGUGUGCAGGGAACGGAACUUCCUGGCAGAGUAUCUGCGCAUCAUAAAAUUCUGCAUUUAUUCUUUAAGAUUCUGGUUUUCAAUCGCUGUCACUUCCUGACUCGCUUAAUUCCAGAUCCUCGCCUGUAGAAACGAAAGAGAAAGAUAAGUGGACAACUUAGACACACAAGGGAUGGAUCCAGCAUAAUCUGGUAGGGGGUGCUCUGCCAGCUCUGGUGCAGAGUUGUGUCGGUCACGUGUGCCGCCUGCCCAUCAUUGCCAUCAACAUACAGCAGUACAGUACUUGCUUGACUACUGUAUUUGAACUAUAAUUGUUCUUCACAGUUUGAUUAUCAUCAUGUUAUUACUUAAAUUACUGUAUCUCAUUGACGUCAACAUAUCCUUCAAUGUGGAAGAUAGCCGAAGUGGUACCGCUACACAAGGAAGGGGAUCCUGAAAUCGCUUCAAAUAAUCGACCGAUUUCACUGCUGUCAUGUUUGUCAAAAAUAUGCGACAAAGUCGCACUGAAUCAGUAUACAGAACAUCUAACAAACCACAGAUUAUUAACGGAGCAUCAAAGUGGUAACCGGAAAAAACAUUCUACCGAAACACUUAACAUUGCAGUGACAGACAUGUUGUUGGAAGCUAUGGAUAAUAAACAGUUAUCUAUAGUUAUAUUGUUAGAUAUGUCGAAAGCCUUCGAUAGUGUUGAUCACAACAUGCUUCUUCAAAGAAUUCUAAACCUAGGCGUAUCUUCUGCAGUGCAUAAGUGGUUUGAAAGUUACUUGUCUGACAGAUGGCAGUAUGUUAGAAUUGGAACUACCUCUUCGGCGCCUGUUGCAUUGUCGUACGGAAUUCCUCAAGGCUCUGUUCUAUCGCCGUUUUUAUUUAAUAUAUACACAGAUAGUUUGUUUUCAGUUCCCAA
Molecule: long non-coding RNA, 1403 nt
Filed under: Paramuricea clavata
Lineage: Eukaryota; Metazoa; Cnidaria; Anthozoa; Malacalcyonacea; Plexauridae
Source: RNAcentral